This 434-nucleotide ribosomal RNA is filed under the name uncultured Lachnospiraceae bacterium. RNAcentral's name for it is "partial 16S ribosomal RNA". It matches the Rfam family "Bacterial small subunit ribosomal RNA", at positions 341 to 792 of the family's 1533-position model. The record is from RNAcentral. Lineage: Bacteria; Bacillati; Bacillota; Clostridia; Lachnospirales; Lachnospiraceae.
ACGGGAGGCAGUAGUGGGGAAUAUUGCACAAUGGGGGAAACCCUGAUGCAGCGACGCCGCGUGAGUGAAGAAGUUAUUCGUAAUGUAAAGCUCUAUCAGCAGGGAAGAAAAUGACGGUACCUGAUUAAGAAGCCCCGGCUAACUACGUGCCAGCAGCCGCGGUAAUACGUAGGGGGCAAGCGUUAUCCGGAUUUACUGGGUGUAAAGGGAGCGUAGACGGCUUUGUAAGUCUGAUGUGAAAGGCAGGGGCUCAACUCCUGGACUGCAUUGGAAACUACAGAGCUUGAGUGCCGGAGAGGUAAGCAGAAUUCCUAGUGUAGCGGUGAAAUGCGUAGAUAUUAGGAGGAACACCAGUGGCGAAGGCGGCUUACUGGACGGUAACUGACGUUGAGGCUCGAAAGCGUGGGGAGCAAACAGGAUUAGAUACCCUGGUA